Molecule: ribosomal RNA, 288 nt
Filed under: uncultured Vexilliferidae
Lineage: Eukaryota; Discosea; Flabellinia; Dactylopodida; Vexilliferidae
Description: partial Bacterial large subunit ribosomal RNA
Rfam family: Bacterial large subunit ribosomal RNA
Source: RNAcentral
UCCUCAGGCGCGUGAGAGAAACCAUGCUAAGGAACUCUGCAAACUAAGUCCGUACCUUCGGAAGAAGGACUGCCCGUAGUAGGUGAUGCUCCUCGCGAGCGGAGCCCAGGCGGGUUGCAGCGAAAGGGCCCAGGCGACUGUUUAGCAAAAACACAGCACUCUGCAAACGCGUAAGCGGACGUAUAGGGUGUGACGCCUGCCCGGUGCCGGAAGGUUAAUUGAUUGGGUUAGCUUCGGCGAAGCUCAUGAUCGAAGCCCCGGUAAACGGCGGCCGUAACGAUAACGGUC